AUUGAACGCUGGCGGCGUGCCUAACACAUGCAAGUCGAACGCGUGUAGCAAUACACGAGUGGCGCACGGGUGAGUAACACGUGGAUAUCUGCCUUUUGGUUCGGAAUAACCCUGGGAAACUAGGGCUAAUACCGAAUGGUUCCUACGGGAUAAAGAUUUAUCGCCAAAAGAUGAGUCCGCGUCCGAUUAGCUAGUUGGUGAGGUAAUGGCUCACCAAGGCGACGAUCGGUAGCUGGUCUGAGAGGACGAUCAGCCACACUGGGACUGAGA
This 270-nucleotide ribosomal RNA is filed under the name uncultured bacterium. Its description in RNAcentral is "partial 16S ribosomal RNA". It matches the Rfam family "Bacterial small subunit ribosomal RNA", at positions 30 to 324 of the family's 1533-position model. The record is from RNAcentral.